Strongylocentrotus purpuratus (purple sea urchin) is the source of this 380-nucleotide long non-coding RNA. RefSeq lists it as uncharacterized. The record is from RefSeq and is a predicted model, not a curated record. The transcript has 2 exons. Lineage: Eukaryota; Metazoa; Echinodermata; Echinoidea; Camarodonta; Strongylocentrotidae.
AAUAUGCGCGCACGCAUGGCUUUCCAUAGUUAACAAAAUUGUUUUCAUGACGACGAAAAUAUUCAUACAAAAUUGAGGUUGGACCGUUAGUGCAUCAUUUUCAGGAAGAAAUUGGAACGCCAUUAGAAGCAGUAUAACAAACUGCGUUGGACCCAUCAAUCCCUGCUCUUAUCUCUCCAUCAAACCUCCCAUCUUGACUGCGGCUGUGCUGUGAUUUCUAGAACUGCAGGGUUCCCGGUCAACAGCAGGCAUGCCAGACAAUAAGAACCAGUUCAAGGAAGUGCUCCCGAAACAGGGCCUGGUCUAUCAGGAGGAACAACCCACCAUGGUCCUUUGCAAACCGAAACUCCUCCCACUCAAGUCUGUGACGUUGGAGAAGA